AAUCACAAAAAAAUACAUGUUUCGGCCAUGUAAAUGGUUAAAAUUUAACCUUGUGAUUU
Molecule: transfer RNA, 59 nt
Filed under: Schyzocotyle acheilognathi
Lineage: Eukaryota; Metazoa; Platyhelminthes; Cestoda; Bothriocephalidea; Bothriocephalidae
Description: tRNA-Arg
Source: RNAcentral